UUCACCACCGCCGUAGCAGGAAGUGAAAUUAAUCUCACUUCCUGCAAUUGAGAUUGAGAUUAAUCUAUUAAAAGACGGUAAAUUGCGAAAAUAAGUUGCUAGAUAUCGAAAGUUUCAGUUGUUGUGGAUAAAUGGGCAAAUAUAUAUUUUCCCACAGAACAUUUAAAGAACUGCGUACAAUUAAAAUACGCCAAAAUAUCCAGGCGGAGAUUUUACAUUUAGUACAUAAAGGGUUAAUGAUAUACAGAUAAAAUUGUAUUGAGUACUUAUUUUUGUGGCCUGCCACUAGUUUAAAUUUAACAGUUUUUUUCACCAGGGCAAAAAGUUUUAACACCCUUGCCUUUAAUUUUAAAUUAAAGACAGGGGUGCUUCAGAGUGCAUGUUGGGGUCAAACAUCGAUGUCUGGAUGCUCUAAUUCACCCAGAAGGUCUUCUGUUGGGGUGAAGUCAGGACUUCAGUUAUCCAUGUCUUUUAGGUUUUUACUUUCUGCCUUCAUGUUGGAAAAGGGAAACUUCCCUAAAAUGUCCCCACAAACGUUGGAGCUUGAAAUCAUCUGAAACAUUUUGACAUCCUCCUGCAUUCAAAGAUCUCAUUUCACUGGAGCUAAGGAACCGGGCCCAAAAUCCUGAAAAACAGCCAUGUAAUGUAAUUUCCUCAGCACCAAGCACUCCACUUGUCAGGCAAGUGCCAAUUCUCUGGGAACCGCCAAACCCCAACUUGUUUAUUGGAUUCCCUGAUCGUCAUGAUUGUUUCGUGACUGCAGAGAACACAUUUCCACUGCUACAUCCAACAACUUGGAUCACUCUUAGUUGCUCUGUAUCCAUUACAAAUGCUUCAAUAUUUUUGCUCAUGCCGAUUUUGCAAUUCCUGUUUCCCUUAAAUAAGAAAUUAACACGCUGGGCUUGUUCAUAAUAAGUCAUAAGAAAAUCUUAUAUUUUAAACAUAAACUCUUGCAUGAAAUAUAUUCAUAAUUCAGCCAGCAGAGGAGAGGUAAGCAUCUUAUUCAGGCAUUGGAGCAACAAGCCCCUUAUAUUUGGGAGCGGCGUUUUGGACAAAUUUUAGUUGUCGAUUUUAUAGAAGAGUAAUCAAUUCAACAUGUUGGAAUGACACAGCUGCACAUGUCCGAAAAAACAAAACAAAACAACAACACCCCUCCAUCAUCAUCCUUCUACUUCCUGUCGUCUUCUUCGAUGUCUGGGCCAGUAGAAACGUCGGGUUGUUGAUCACGUGACUCCUGUGAUGCAAAAAAAAAAAAGUGUUGACGUUUUCCGAAAUAAAUCUAUUUCAAUACGGUCAAAAAAACCACCUGGUUGUUGCGGAAAGUGCCUCCACUAUAUGUGAUAACGAGCUCUAUAAGUACUGUGUAUGUUGUGUGUGGGUGAGGAAGAUACGAGGCUUCCGGUCCUCCCGUCAGAAGGGGGCGCUGCGUGCUGUAACCCGCCUGCUUUGGAGCGACUAAGAGACGGUAGUUAGGGAAAGUGUGUUCGGCCUGUAGUUGUUAAGGAAGCUGUUAAAUUGGUCUCUUCAGUGCCACCGCGUGUUUUGUGUUCUUCGCCCCUAUAAGUGAGGGAGCUAACCCGGAAGACGAGUCCUACUUCGGCCUGGAGGAAAUAUCUCCCCUGUGUUUUCGGACUACGGUCUGAAGACCGAAGCAAGAACGGCUAACAUCCUAGCGCAAAAGGUUUUUCAUAUUUUUUUGAAAAACGGUUAAUGUAAACGCAGCGGGUCGCCAUAGAGACCACCCGCUGUUGAGAAGAGGUUCUUCUUCUGCGCCAUUUGCAGAUGAAACCACGUGCCUUCUGUUCAGGCCAGGAAGAGCUAAGUGUAACUCUUCAGCGCCGGAGCUAAAGAGUCGCAGGGAGGCGUGGUGUCGGUACUCACAGGUGAAUGGGGCUCGGUUGACAUGUGGGACAAACCCCGUCAUCCCUGCUGACCUCCAGCACCGCGUCCGGG
Xiphophorus couchianus (Monterrey platyfish) is the source of this 1953-nucleotide long non-coding RNA. RefSeq lists it as uncharacterized. Lineage: Eukaryota; Metazoa; Chordata; Actinopteri; Cyprinodontiformes; Poeciliidae. The transcript has 4 exons. The record is from RefSeq and is a predicted model, not a curated record.